This is a non-coding RNA of Prunus avium (sweet cherry), 278 nucleotides long. NCBI's taxonomy places the organism in Eukaryota, Viridiplantae, Streptophyta, Magnoliopsida, Rosales, Rosaceae. The record is from RefSeq and is a predicted model, not a curated record.
CUUCGUUCUCCUUCAAUCCUCCACCGAUUCCGACGAGUGAGGUAUUCCGACUACACCUACACAGCAGGCAGGAACCUCUCAGGGUUACGCAGCGUGGGACUACUUCCAGUAGUUGACUGGAACGAGCUGCAGUGCCGUGUUUUGUGCUCCUGCUAUCACGAGCCGCAGUACUUGAGCUUUCUUAGAGCCUCAGUGCUAUGUAAAUACGUAAAACUUCAUUUUUGCUAGUUUGUUGUACUCUGUAGACUUGCUCUGUUAUCGCCUGUUAGGAUUUGGUA